Molecule: long non-coding RNA, 3365 nt
Organism: Xiphophorus couchianus (Monterrey platyfish)
Lineage: Eukaryota; Metazoa; Chordata; Actinopteri; Cyprinodontiformes; Poeciliidae
Exons: 4
Source: RefSeq, a predicted model, not a curated record
GAAGGUUUAAACCUGAAGGUGGGUGGAGCCUUUCUGUUCAAGGUUUGUAAACUCUUUCUUGUUUUUUUCUCCUGCUUGUUUCUUUCAAACUCCACAAGUUUUGUGUUAUGUAUUUGCUUCGUUUGUCUUAAUCUUAAUCAGGUACAGUUUUUAUAUCAUUUUAUGUUCUCUAUAAUGCAGCUUAGAAAUGUUGAAACAUUGUGAAACAUUCUGCCUUGGUAAAUAUAUGUAACCUUGUCCAGCAUACUCCUAAUUUCCUGCAGCAAGUCCCCAAGCUUACAUCUGUAAGGUGUUACAUUACGCACAUAAGAUCCUGACAUUCAUUGCCCUGAUUGGAUGGAUUCUGUUAAGUUGCUUCUGACAGAAUUAGGUCCCCAUCGGAAAUUGACUGGGGUAAGACCGGUUCAGAUGGAGGUAAAGCAAGAACUGUGGCAUUAAUUCCUUUAGCUGUGCUGAUGCAAGCUCCUACUGGAUCCUGGACUGUGUAAAUCCAGCAGCCUCUGUUCUUAUUUGAACACUUUCAUUUAUACACUUUUAAACAUGUAGUCACAGUGUGGAUAAUAAACAGAUAUUCUGAGGAAGGUUAUCCCUACUGUUUUUCAUAAGUUAAAGUAUCUGAAGUACUAAUCUAAUAAAUGCAGUAGGAAAUUAUAUAUUUUUUUGUGUUUUGGCAACAUGAGCAACCACAGUAAGAGCUGUUAUUUUACUGAUUUACAAAGGUUCCUUCAGUCCAGAAAAUUUUAGAUGAUGAUAACCAUGAAUCUUUGAACUCAGAUAAAACAGCAAGAACAAUUUUUGAAAUAAUAUUGAAAGGGAAAACUCCAGAACAGGGAUUGCUGGUCUCCUCCAGCACCUCACCCCCUCUCAAAAAACAAAUCCACAACUGUGACAUUCCAUUCAUACGUUUCACUGAUGUUGUGGGUAUUACCUGCUUUAGCUAUGUGUAGCACCACAUAUCAUGCUUCAUUUGCCUUGUCGUUUGCAGUACUAACACUACUGUCUGCUGUAACCUCAGUUAAUUUAGCCCUUUGUUUACAAAGAAAAAACCUCUUGGAGUUUUGCAAACCCUGUGGAAGUGGAGUAUCUUCAGAACCAACCCAAGAAAAUACCAACUUUAAAUAAUUAUGGUCAUACUUGCUCCGAAUUUUUAGUUACUUUGCUUGGCCCGGUCUCCUUACUCACUGUAACUUUAGUUACUAAGAACCAAUCAAUUUGGAAAGUUUGAUAAAAAUUUCAAAAUUACAUUUUCUGGUUUAUCUUUUUCAUUAUGUUGUGCACCCCAUGAAGCUCUCUGGUGACCCCCAGAGGGGGGCACGCCCCACACUUUGUAAAACCCUGCUCUACAAUUUAUGAUUCUGCCCCAUUAAUUUUUUCCCUCAAAUACUCCUGUUGUGGCAGACCUAUAAUUUUCACUCUAUAAAGUUGUAAAAUAUUUUCUCUUGUGACUGUGGUGAAACCUAACCAUGGUUCUGUAUGGAGUACCUGCUGUUGAAGGAAAUAUCCAAUUAGCUACCAGCUGCUGAACUAAGUUGGCUGCUGGAAGUUUAGUGGAACAUAGAACUGAAAGGGAAAGCAUUUCUCAGGUGAGCUCACUUCAUUUCAGUACUAAUAUUUUGUCCUUGUUAAUUUGUGUGAUUAAUUUAUGAAGUUAUAGAUUAAAGAUAGUCUUCUGCAAUGCAUGCGCUUAUUUCUCUGGCUGAACUUGCCACAAAAUUAGUAGGAAAAAUACUUAUCAUGUAUCAAUUAAUAAUUUCAUAAAUUAUUUUAACCAAACAUGGUUUCACAUGCACUGAAAGGCAUAUCAUGAACACUUUGUAAUGGUACUUUUCUAUAAUGGUUCCAGUACCUUCAAGAUAAGAUGAGGUGUAUUAUUGAGGCCCUGUGCUGAAAAAACAAACAAAAAAACAAAAAGCAUUGCUGUUUGAUAUAGCAAAAUAACAGUUAACAAGCUUUCUUUAGCAUUUAGUAAAUGCGUCCGCAGUACAGCUAGCUGAUAGAGGAAGUUAGAAAGCUAUAAGUGCCCAUGAGUCAAAUGAAGACUCAGAGAAUAACACUCAGAAUCAUUUAUUAAUCUCAGUAUGAAAGUUUUAAUAGGGCAGAUCAUUUUUGAAGUGUGCUAUUUACUUUUUAACAUUAGUACCUUGCUUUGAUUAAGCUGUUCACUACUAGUUUGAAAACUUUUCUAGGAUGAUGCAAUGGGUCAAAUGUUACCAAUGAAGUGCGAGGGACUGGCGGGGAUCAGGAGGGUGUUAUUAUACAAUGAUAUUUAUUUCUAAAUUAAGGUGUAAUAUCGAUAUAAUCAAGUCAAAAGUGUAAAGCAGUUUGGUUACUGCAAAGACCCAAAGCUUAGCUAUAGCAGCGGAAAGGAAUUUUCUGCAUUAAAUAAAAAAAAUUUUAAUGUGUUGUUGAGUCAUUAGUACCCAACAACAUAUUGAGUGUUGUUGAGUACUAACAACACAUUAUUGUGUUGUUUAGGUAACACUACAUUUAGUGGGUAAAUUUAGUGUUACCCACUAAAUUUGGACUUUUUUCCAACAUGCUAUGCUUGAAUCUUUUACUCUGGCAGAUCAAUUCUUGAUCAGAACUAUGCCUUGUGAGGCUUGUCAGUAUCCACGAGUCUUCUGAGGCAUUUUGCUGCCCUCAAGUGGCCGUAAAACUGUUAAUUGUAGAUUACAUUAUGAAAUGCAUAUGGUUUUAUCAACCUUGUUUAAGCAACAAACUGUGCAAAUAUUUGAAGAAAUGUUAGAAGUAUUUCAAUUACCAGGCAUUGACUGCUUCAGUUGUUGUUCCAGUGUGUUGUAAUCAAAUAAUGCUAUUGCAUGUCUUCCUUACAUACAAUUCUUAACUAACAUCAAUAUGUGUGUGUCUAUUGCAGUUUUACAAGUUUGUGCCAUCUAUAACAUCUAUUUUAUUAUAUUAUUUAGCUAGGCACAGCAGAUGUACAACUGUUCUCCUUUCUACAACUCAUCUGAAAGUGACCAAUUGUAAAGUGGUUCAGCACUGAGGUCCUACGCUGGAUAUAACAGGAUAUAACCUCAGAAACGAACAUCAAAUAUGUAAUACUUCAUUGGGUUCCAUCUGCUACAAAUUUCUAUACCCUCGACAUGUUGGCAUAUCUGGUGCUCCAACAAGUUUGCAUUUCAGUGAAAGAGGCUGAUUGCUGAUACAGCAAGGUUCCCUGUGAAGUGACUCCCUUUGGUUCAACCACAAGGUGCUGUCACAUCAGACGUGAUCAGGAGUUAUUCAUCAAUCACAUCUAGCAGGACUCAACUAUCAUGUCAGGGACGUCUGUUUUGACGAUGCUGUGCUGAGAGUUGAAGUAGACCAUGGACAGAGGCCGGCGCUCAGUGGGGAUGCAGCAUGAA